Non-coding RNA from Lasiosphaeria hispida, 95 nucleotides. NCBI's taxonomy places the organism in Eukaryota, Fungi, Ascomycota, Sordariomycetes, Sordariales, Lasiosphaeriaceae. The record is from the annotation of a GenBank genome assembly.
GAGCGUGUAGCGCAGUUGGUAGCGCCUUCGCUUUGCAUCAGUGGUGUGUCUGCGAAAGGUCUCGAGUUUGAGGUCUUGAGGUCUUGACUCGUUCA